AUGUCGGGGCACGGCCGGAGAUUGGCGGACGGCAGCCGGAGAUUGGCCACGGAUUGCUGGAAGGAAAUGAAGACGGCGGUGAUCAAUGACACGUGGCUGCCGAUGUUGAAGCUGCCGUACCACUGUCUGUGCUGCAGCUACAAGGAGAUCGGGAAAGACGCGUGGCAGUGCGUCCAGUGCUGGACGCCGCUCAGCCUCACCGUCCUCUUGCUCUGGCUCCUCUACCGCCCCGACAAAUUCCACCCCACCGUCGACUCCGCCUCCCUCGCCUCCCUGGACCUCAACGGCAACUCCCUCCACUACAACCUCGCCGUCGACCUCAGCUUCCGAAACUCCAACAGACUGCUCAGCAUCUCCUACCUCGACGUCGGUGCCGCCGCCUCCUACAACGGCACCAGCCUUGGCCUGGCCGGGAACUCGCUGCCGGGUUUCUUCCGGCAGGGACCCAAGAACACGACGGUGCUGCACGCGGUUUUCCAGGGCAUGGUCAUGGUGGCUGACGUGCAAGUGCAAGAGGGGUUGGCCAAGGAGCUGGAGAGGGAGCGCGGCUCUGGGAUGAUGCACGUGAGGGUGCGCGUGGAUCUCACCAUCAUGUACAAGGUGAUUGUGAAGGAGAUCUUCUUCAACAGCUAUGAGUGCUACCUACCAUUCACCCCGCUGCCGAAUGCUGUCUUCCUCAGCGACAGCGCGCCUUUUCCAGCAAUCCCCCCUCCUUCGUUUCAACAUAUAGGAUUAACAGCAAAUGGCAUCAGGAUGGAAGGUUACGGUGCACGGGGCGCCGCCGACGCCCAAUCUGCAUCGGAUCUUGGGCUUUCACCCGGACAUGGGUCGGAGUGGAGAGAUAGUGCCCUCAGCAGCGCCCCCAAGGAGGAAAGCGGCGCCAAAAAACGGUGUCGCCACUGCCGGCCAGCCAAGGCGGCCAAGGUUUCUCUCGGACACCGAUCUGCUCCACUAGAACACACCGGAGUUGGAUCCAGCAAGAUCCAAACCGAACCGGCGACUGGGAAGGGAUGCAUGGAAGGGAAGGGGGCAAUACCUCCAGAUUCGGCAUGCCUGCGGCUCGCCGUCCUCACGGCCGAACCCUCAGGCAUGCCGCACGCCACGCCAGUAGGGGCCGCCGCCCCUGGAUCUGAUGGCCUCCGCGAAGAAGCGCCAAAGACCCCGCCGCCACCUUCCCCGGAGCCCGCACGGGCUUUCCUGGCAUUCGCCUCCGGUGGCGGUGAGGGGGUGGGGGAGAUGAGCAACCCGUGUACCUUCAUGCUUUCGAUGAUGGGCCAAGUCACCAAUGGUAAUCACCAGGGACAUGGAAACCUGACAGUGACGUCGUGGUCUUCAAGGCUCAGCCUUCCCCGUGAUGCGAGAGAGGCAGCAUCUACCACUACUACCUCCAUCCAGUUAGCUAGGCACUCACCAUAUACAUACCCAGCUAGCUUAUUAGUGCAGCAAUGUGGGAACUUUGACAGUUCCACUGUCAGAACUGUGUUGCUGGACCAAUCGCGAGACAUGACUGGUACUGGAGUGAGUGGAAGGAGGAUGGGCACCUGCAUCGACGGUGAAGAUGGCAGCGGGGAAGCAAAAUUUGCCGGCGGUCGGAGGUGGCAACGCCCACAUACAGAUCUGCAGCAAGUAAAUUCUCUGCAUAACCGACCUCCUGAUUCACUGUUGCCUGAUCAGAACAAAAUCAGACUGCUUUGUGUUAGAACUAGAACAUAA
Molecule: ribosomal RNA, 1713 nt
Filed under: Triticum aestivum (bread wheat)
Lineage: Eukaryota; Viridiplantae; Streptophyta; Magnoliopsida; Poales; Poaceae
Description: partial small subunit ribosomal RNA
Source: RNAcentral